RNAcentral lists this unclassified non-coding RNA (1223 nucleotides) under Hevea brasiliensis (rubber tree). The record is from RNAcentral. Lineage: Eukaryota; Viridiplantae; Streptophyta; Magnoliopsida; Malpighiales; Euphorbiaceae.
AAUAAAUGAUUGCAAUCCAAUGGAAUCAGCCAUGCCUAUAUCAUUGAUUGUCCAGCUAAAUAAUAAUUUGUAUCCUAGAACAAAAAAUUACCACUUCAGAAAGAAAUUGAAGAUAAGGCCAAAAUGAUUGCUAACAAUCUAUGAUCCAAGCAAGUCUUUGGAAAUCAUAUUGCUCUCAAGUCCUAACAAUAUAAAACAACUAACGUUACCAAUUGAAUGCAACAGACACUAAAAUUUACAAUCCUAUUGGCAGUCAUUCCCACAAUAAACAUUUAAAAAUCUUCAAACUAUGCUACUCUUCAUCCAACACUUCUUGUACUUCCUGCUCAGCUCCUUCCUUCUCUGAACCCCCUUCAUCCUGAUCAUCUUCAAUUUCAGCAUUGUUAGCUUCCAAGGCUUUGUCAUACUCAGCCUUACGCUCAGCAGCCUUACUCACAUACGGUUUCUUUUCCUGAAACAGAUUAAAAGGAGCGAUUAAAAGCCAUUGAUGUUAUUAAGUAGCUUCCUAGUGAACAAAUUUCAGAAAUGAGAAUCAACUGAACUCACUUCAUCAGUCAUACACUUCCAUUUUUCACCUGCUUCCUUUGCAACCUAAAUCCGAUUAAAAGCAUUAUAAAAAAAUCUGCCAAAGCAUUAUAAACACCCCCAUAUAGCAGUGAAGAAAUGCAUAUAAAACUCUGCAGAAUCUACCUUUUUAACAUCCUUACUGUCUGGAUUUGCUUCCUUGAAGGCUUUUCUAAAUUCAUCCAUGAAGAUAAAGAAGGCAGUGGGAGGACGUUUAGGCUUGUUUGGAUUGUUGCCCUUCUUCUCUUUCUUAGCUUUUUUUGCCUUUGGUUCUGUUGAUGUUGCUUUUUUCCUUUCUGUUUUCUUCUUAACUUCAGCGGGCUUGUCCACGACUUGAGCCUCCAAGUUCAUCUUGAUUCUAGCAUCAAGGCUACAGCUGUGCAUGCUGAUAAGAGCCACAGGAACAUGCUUCUUGCACUCUUCACAUCUACCAAAAGCACUGCCAUCCUUUCCGCGAACCAUGGAAGUGGUAGUCCCAGUAGCAGUAGCAGAUUCAGCCUCCACUCUUUUCCUUGCCAUUUGUGCCUUGUUGUAAUCAACUGAGGCGACAGAGAGAAUUGGGUAGAGAUAGAGAGGAUGGGAAUGGAGUUGAGGGAAGUGGAAGACGAAUAAUAUGAAGGAGCAAAGGGGAAGGGAGGGAAAAUGGGACAUGGAAUUUU